RNAcentral lists this transfer RNA (66 nucleotides) under Neotrogla sp. 5 KY-2017. RNAcentral's name for it is "tRNA-Val". The record is from RNAcentral. Lineage: Eukaryota; Metazoa; Arthropoda; Insecta; Psocodea; Prionoglarididae.
CAAGAUGAAGCUUUAAGAAGUUUUUCUUUUACAUUGAAAAGAUUUCAAAAUUUUUGAAUUUCUUGA